AUGACUGAGCGACUUCACUUUCAAGGCAAUAUGAUUCUUUGGCUAUGCCUUAGAAAUUGAAAGAUUGAUAUAUCUGUCUUUUGGUUAUAAAGACUUCUUACAUCAAAGUAAUUAGUAAUUUGGAGAUAAAAUUAAUUAUGUACUACCUAUCAAGGAGAAAUAUAAUUGUCUAAGCCAGUUACAAUCUUAUACGUUUCAUUUAAGACAUGAAUAAAUGGCUAGUAUAAUUUUUUUCUGAGACACAUUUUUUAAAUGUUCAGAUUUAAAUACUCAGAUUUAUCACAAAUGUUUGGGUUUGAUCAUUCCUUUGAAAGGAAUUGGUGUUUUCUUUUUGGAAUAAAAAGGCAAAAUUUGUUGAGGGAGUAUGGAAUAAUUCAGAAAGAAGUCAGUAAUUUUUCCCACUUUUGCUACUAAGUUAUAGGCAGUUAUUUUGACUGGUAGUUUGAAAAAGAAGACUAUGCCCAUGUGAUGCUUGUAACGAAACUGGGUAUGCAAAUCACACACUUGAAAAAUUCAGAUGACUGUGUGGUGGUUUAUUUAUACACUGGGUUGAUGGAAUGUCCAUCGUGUAGCAUGUGUCACCCUGCACCACGUGUCCUCUCUCUGUGUAAGUUUGAAGGACAUAUUUGCCAUCUGAUGUGGGUUUCCUGGAUGCUCAUAAUCAGUGAAAUAAUUACUCUUCUUAAAAAUUAUUUUUAAAAUAUGUAUUUUGGGGUUGAGUGGCAAGAUGUUUUAAGAUCUUAUCACCCUGGGUCCAGUUAUCUAUGUAUGUUUAUUUUAUAGAGACAAGUCACUUACUUAAAUAAUUCAGUGAACCCUCACAAAGAGCUGGGUACAAAAACCUUCACAAAGAGCUGGGCUGGGUAGCAUGCUGGAUGUCAGGAACUGGCGCCGUGGAGAAGAGAAAGGGAAAUGGGUUUGUAAGGUGGUGACUGAGCUAAGCAGAGGGCCUGGUACCUACAGAAAGUCCUAAGAAAUUAUUAUUUUUAGUAAGUUGUUAAGUUAUUAACUGAAAGGAAGGCCAGAGUUGAAAUUGUGAUCUAUCUAAAACGGGCAAAUUAGUUAAUACUCUUAGUUUGUUUCUUCAUCAGAAAUACAGGGUAAUAAAAUCACCAUCAGAGGGACUAUGUCAAGAUUAAAUGAGUUAUUCAACAAAAUGGAAAUAUUACUGAAUGGGAGAAAAUAUUUGUAAAUGAUAUAACCAAGUAGGGAUUAACAUCCAACAUAUAUAAACAAUUUAUACAACUCAACAUCAAAAAAACAAAACAAUUUGAUUAAAAAAUGAGCAGAAGAACUGAAUAGACGUUUUUCCAAAGAGAGAAUGCAGAUGGCCAACAGAGCACGUGAAUAGAUGCUCAGCGUUGCUAAUCACCAGAUCACCAGGGAAAUGCAAAUCAAGGUCACAAUGAGAUAUCACUUCACACCUGUCAAAAUGGCUAUAAUGGAAAAGAAAAGAAAAGAAAAAGACCAAAUAGUAAAUGUUGGCAAGGAUGUGGAGAAAAGGGAACCCUUGUACACUAUUGGUGUGAUGGACAUUGGUACAGCCACUGUGGAAAACAGUAUGGAGGUUCUGCAAAAAUCUAAAAAUAGAACUACCAUAUGACCCAGAAACUAUACUCCUGGGUGUAUAUUUGAAAAAAGCACUAAUUGAAAAAGAUAUAUGCACCCCAAAAUUCAUAGCAGAAUUACUUACAAUUUCCAUAUAUGGAAGCAAUCUAAGUGUCUAUCCACAGAUGAAUCUAUAAAGAUGUGGUUUACAAUACAAUAGAAUAUUACUCAGCCAUAAUUUUUUUUUUUUUUGCCAUUUGCAGUAACAUGGAUGGACUUGGAGGGUAUAAUGCUAAGUGACAUUAGUUGGACAGAGAAAGACAAGUACUGUAUGAUAUCACAUAUUUGGAAUCUAAAUAAUACAACGAACUAGUGAAUAUAAGAAACAGAAGCAAAUUCACAAAUAAGCAACCAAUUUGUAGUUCUCAGUGAAGGAGCAAUAUAAGGAUAGCGGAGCGGGAAGUACAAACUAUUGGGUGUAAAAUUGGCCCAAGGAUGUGUUGUGUAAUAUGGGGGAUAUAGCCAAUACUUUGUAAUGACCAUAAAUGGAAAGUUACCUUUAAAAAUUAUAUGAAAUAUUAAAAAAUUUUAAAAGAUUAAAUGAGGUAAAAUAUGGGAGCAUGCCCCCUAUGGGACAUGCCCAGGAGUAUGUCUGGCACAUAUCAGAUAGUUAAUAAUUGUUGGUAAAAUAGUGAAAAGUGAAAAAAAAAAGUUUUCUUAUUCUCAAGAUGUGUCAUGGCUUAGAACAGGGGAUCCUAAUACAUUAUGAAGUUGGACUUUAGCUGUAAUUUCCCUGUAUUUGCUUUAAAAUUCUGUCUGAGUUUCACUAAUAAUCCAAAGGGAUUUUGGACUCUAAGAAGAAAACACACAUACACAAACACACCUACACACUUCCCUGCUCCUGCACUCAUAAUUAUUCUUCUCUUGUUCACAGAUUUAAAUUUGCUUAAAUCCAUGAAAUAUUUUUAUAUUUAAAUGUCCUCUGUAAUAACAGGAGAACGUGAGAAAUGAGCGGAAGCAGCAGAAUUAUAUUAUUGGAUAAAAAUUUGGAUACAGAAGGAGAUGUGAAGAGAAAAUGAUGUGUUUUUCCUGCUAGACCACGGUGAACUCACUUGUUGUAGUCCUUAUUGCUAUUUUAAGAAAAAUUGCUGGUGUGAAGUAUAUUAGAUGCAGUGUAGUGUUUUCACUUGUUAAGGUCAAUUCAUAUUUUAAUAAUGUGUUUUGUGUUUAUCUAUCUUUAGGUUUAACAUUUAAAAAAAUCUGAUCUCUAAACUGAUCAUUUCGUACAUAAUUGUUUAAAUACCAUAGGUCAUGUGAUGACCUUUUAUAUUUUUUGAUUUUUUGAAUGUCUUUUAUUUGAAGAUUGUCAUGUCUUUAAUGCUAAUAAUGCCUCAUCUUUUCUGAAAUUGGAUUUGAAUCAUCACUAAAGGAUAAAAUGCUAUGACUAUAAGGUGGCAUUCAAAAACAAGAAACACUUACUAAAUUUAAACUAUUUCUUUCAGGCCCAUGUUUUCAACUCUUUCAGAAAUACUUUUGAGUUAAAAUUGAAAUGUCAAAUAACAUAAAAUUUGAAACACACAUUUGGUUCAGUAUUACCAUCAUACAGUAUUAAAUAUUAAACAUUAAUUUAUUUCAUGCUGCUGGCAGGACACAAUGAUUCAGUGUUUAAUGAAAAAAAAAUUGUCUGCUUGAUGACUUCCAUGUAUUGUAAUAGAACUGUGCAUGUUUAUUUACUGUGGAUUAAUAGGCUUUGUUCUGCUAGUGCAUACUUAAAUAUGAUUUAUAUGUCAUGUAUAAAUAUACCUAUGUCAGACAUAGUCUAUACUGAAGUCCACAAAUUCUCUUUUUUGAAAUAUGCCUUUGUUUCUUCUAUGAAAGAAAUAUUUAUGAAAAGUUGUCUCUAUCUUUUACACUACAUUCCUUACAGUAACCAAGGCCUCUUUAAAACUGGGUGCUUUGCACCCGGGGUUUAAUGCAGGUAGUAAAAUGUUACUACGAAUGAAUGUGAAAGGGAAGCUGCUUUAAUUAAAGGGAAUGAAUCUAAAUAAUACAAUGUACUAUUUGGAAUGGAAUUAAAUAGCACUCUUUAACAGAGAGCAAAUUUAUUUCAUUAUAUUUUGGAGUCAACAUAAUUAUACGUAUUAUUUGUUCAUAACACUGAAUGUGUGACCUUGGGAAAGUUACUGAUCACUCUAUACUUCAGCUUCUUUAUAUGAAAAAUGGAUAUAAUCAUAGUUCCUACGUGAUAUAUCAAUAGUAUACUUGGAAUUGUCCGUGGCACUUAGCAAACACUGUGUGUUAUCUUUUGUUAUUUUUAUAUAUGAUAUGUAGAGUAGGGUAGGGAGGUGGGAACAGAGGAUGAACCAGAGGAUGAGCCAUUCAGAAUCACCUGAAAUAGCACACUUUCAAGGGCCCUAUUAGGGAUGCAGGCUGGCUAUUUUUGCACUUGAGAAGAGCUCCAGUCACAAAAUGAUAAUAUUCUAUGGAAGGUGUCUUAUGUCUUGUUGUUUAGUUCCUAAGUCGUGUCUGAUUCUGCGACCUCAUGGACUGUAGCCCACCAGGCUCCUCUGUCCAUGGGAUUUCCCAGGCAAAAAUACUGGAGUGAGUUGCCAUUUCUUUCUCCAGGAAAUUUUCCUGACCCGUGGAUCGAACUGGUGUCUUAUGUCUACAACUUACAUAAAAAUAUCUCAAGGAAGACACUACUAUUUGAAGUCUGCUCAGGUUACUUUAUAUUAUGAGAAAAAAAUUGUCCCUCUGUGAAGUUCCUUUCCCUCAUCUCCAAACUUCAAAUCCAGCAACAUAAUCCUCAUGUCCAACUCAAAUAGACUGCUGCUGCUACUGCUAAGUCACUUCAGUCAUGUCCAACUCUGUGCGACCCCUUAGACGGCAGCCCACCAGGCUCCGCCGUCCCUGGGAUUCUCCAGGCAAGAACACUGGAGUGGGCUGCCAUUUCCUUCUCCAACACAUGAAAGUGAAAAGUGAAAGUGAAGUCGCUCAGUCGUGUCCUACUCUUCGAGACCCCAUGAAUCUCAGCACGCCUUGGCCACAGAAUCACUCAUGCUUGUUUGCAGCCCCACAGACUGUGGCCUACCAGGCUCCUCUGCCCAUGGGAUUUUUCCAGGCAAGAGUACUGGAGUGGGUUGCCAUUGCCUUCUCCUCAAAUAGACUACCUACUCCCAACUCAAAUCUCCCUAUUGAUUUUCUCUUGUAAGAAAUUACAUCUGGGGCAUCCCUGGUGGCUCAGUGGUAAAGAAUCCACCUGCCUUUGCAGGAGACGUGGGUUUGAUCCCUGGUCCAGGAAGAUCGCACAUGCGCCAGAGCAGCUAAGCCUGUCUGCCGCAACAAUUGAGCCUGUGCUCUAGAGCCUGGGAACCACAACUACUGAGGCCACAUUCUCUAGAGCCUGGACUCUGCAACAGGAGAAGCCACUGCCAUAAGAAGCCUGUGCACUGCGACUAGAGAGGAGGCCCUGCUCUCUGCAGCUAGAGAAAAGUCCAUGUAGCAACAAAGAGUCAGCACAGCGUCCCCCUGCCAAAAAAAACCAAUCACAUCUGAAAUGAGCUUCCAAAACUACAUGUAGGUCAUAUAUAAUUUUUAGCAGAUCUUAAAGUAGCUGGAAUUCAGGUUUUCAUUUUAGUUUAUUGAUCUCUUAAAGCUAAUAACUGUUAUUGAAAGUUUUUUGGGUUUUGUUGAGGUACAAUUGGCAUAAACACUAUAGGAGUCUCAGGUAUACCACAGCAUAGCGAUUCAGUGUUUGUGUAUAUUGCAAAAGUAUCACCACCAGAAGUCUAGUUAGCAUCUGUCACUGUGCAUCCUUACAGAAUUUUUCUUUCUGAUGAGAACUUUAAAGAUUUUUCUCUCUUAGAAACUUUCAAAUUUGCAACACCGUGUUAUUAACUGCAGUCACCGUCCUAUACACUGCAUCUCCUUGACUUAUAUUUUAUAACUGGAAGUUUGUGCCUUUUGACCCCCUUAACCCAUUUUGUCGUCCCCCAGUCCUCUGCCUGUGGUAACCACCUAUGUGUUCUGUGUAUGUAUGAGCUCAUUUUUUUGUUUUUUUUUAAGAUUUCACGUAAAAGUGAGAUCAUAAAGUAUUUAACAUUUUCUCUCUGAUUUAUUUCACUUAGCAUAAUGCCCUCAAUGAACUUUCUUGUCUCAAAUGGCAAGAUUUUUUUCUUUUUCAUGGCUGAAAAACAUUCCAGUAUAUGUGUGUAUAUCUAUGUAUGUCUAUUUAUUUAUUCUCACCUACACUUGUUAUUUCUUGUCUUUUUGAGAAUGGUCAUUCUGACAAGUGUCAAAUAUCUUUUUGUGGCUUUGAUUUGUAUUCCUCUGAUAGUUUUUGGUAUUAAGUCCUUUUCAUGUUGACCAUCUCUGUCUGUUUCCACCUUCUUUGGAAAAAAAUGGCUAUUCAUAUCCUCUGCCUACUUUUUAAUUUGGUUUGUUGUUUUACUAUUAAGUUGUUUGAGCUCUUUGUGUAUUUUGACUAUUAACCCCUUGUCUGAUACACAAUUUGCAAAUGUCAUCUCCUAUUUGGUAGGUUGCCUUUUCAUUUUGUUUGUGAUUUGCUUUGCUGUGAAGUAGCUUUUUAGCUUAAUGUAGUCUCAGUUUUUUGUUUUUGCUUUUGUUUUUGUUGCCUUUGUUUUUGGUGUCAGAUGGCUAUCUUUUAAAGUCUGACCUAGGACAGUUGUAUUUACACUCUCAAAUUUCAUAGUUAUCCUUAAAGGCGUCUUUCAAAGUUACUUUUUUCCUAUUUUGCUUGGUAAAAUUCUAAGUGUAUGAAAAUCACCUUAAAUGAAAUCUCAGUUGUAAUCUAAUUUCUAAUUGAGUUAGACAGAAGCUGCCAUUUUGUCAGUGUUACAACCCUAUUGACUAUUUCUGAUGUAAUCAGUGGGCUCCUUUUUGAUUAUUCAAAGCACUAUAUAAGUGUAAUAAUGUCUUACUGGCUUUCUGUAAACUUAUGUGUUUAGUCUGGUGAAGAUUUAUUUUUCAAAAUAAAAUAUUCUCUUAUGAAAUUUGAACAUUA
Molecule: long non-coding RNA, 6571 nt
Organism: Dama dama (fallow deer)
Lineage: Eukaryota; Metazoa; Chordata; Mammalia; Artiodactyla; Cervidae
Exons: 2
Source: RefSeq, a predicted model, not a curated record